GAUGAACGCUGGCGGCGUGCCUAAUACAUGCAAGUCGAGCGAACGGACGAGAAGCUUGCUUUUCUGAUGUUAGCGGCGGACGGGUGAGUAACACGUGGAUAACCUACCUAUAAGACUGGGAUAACUUCGGGAAACCGGAGCUAAUACCGGAUAAUAUUUUGAACCGCAUGGUUCAAAAGUGAAAGACGGUCUUGCUGUCACUUAUAGAUGGAUCCGCGCUGCAUUAGCUAGUUGGUAAGGUAACGGCUUACCAAGGCAACGAUGCGUAGCCGACCUGAGAGGGUGAUCGGCCACACUGGAACUGAGACACGGUCCAGACUCUUACGGGAGGCAGCAGUAGGGAAUCUUCCGCAAUGGGCGAAAGCCUGACGGAGCAACGCCGCGUGAGUGAUGAAGGUCUUCGGAUCGUAAAACUCUGUUAUUAGGGAAGAACAUAUGUGUAAGUAACUGUGCACAUCUUGACGGUACCUAAUCAGAAAGCCACGGCUAACAACGUG
RNAcentral lists this ribosomal RNA (497 nucleotides) under uncultured bacterium. RNAcentral describes it as "partial 16S ribosomal RNA". It matches the Rfam family "Bacterial small subunit ribosomal RNA", at positions 28 to 507 of the family's 1533-position model. The record is from RNAcentral.